RNAcentral lists this ribosomal RNA (433 nucleotides) under uncultured bacterium. RNAcentral's name for it is "partial 16S ribosomal RNA". It matches the Rfam family "Bacterial small subunit ribosomal RNA", at positions 29 to 507 of the family's 1533-position model. The record is from RNAcentral.
AGCGAACGCUGGCGGCAGGCCUAACACAUGCAAGUCGAACGGAUCCUUCGGGAUUAGUGGCGGACGGGUGAGUAACACGUGGGAACGUGCCCUUUGGUUCGGAACAACUCAGGGAAACUUGAGCUAAUACCGGAUGUGCCCUUCGGGGGAAAGAUUUAUCGCCAUUGGAGCGGCCCGCGUCUGAUUAGCUAGUUGGUGAGGUAACGGCCCACCAAGGCGACGAUCAGUAGCUGGUCUGAGAGGAUGAUCAGCCACACUGGGACUGAGACACGGCCCAGACUCCUACGGGAGGCAGCAGUGGGGAAUCUUGCGCAAUGGGCGAAAGCCUGACGCAGCCAUGCCGCGUGAAUGAUGAAGGUCUUAGGAUUGUAAUAUUCUUUCAGCGGGGACGAUAAUGACGGUACCCGCAGAAGAAGCUCCGGCUAACUUCGUG